RNAcentral lists this small nuclear RNA (188 nucleotides) under Oncorhynchus tshawytscha (Chinook salmon). RNAcentral's name for it is "U2 spliceosomal RNA". It matches the Rfam family "U2 spliceosomal RNA". From Rfam's summary of the family: U2 is a small nuclear RNA (snRNA) component of the spliceosome (involved in pre-mRNA splicing). Lineage: Eukaryota; Metazoa; Chordata; Actinopteri; Salmoniformes; Salmonidae. The record is from Rfam by way of RNAcentral.
AUCGCUUCUCGGCCUUUUGGCUCAGAUCAAGUGUAGUAUCUGUUCUUACAUUUAAUAUCUGAUACGUCCCCCAUCGGGGGACUACAUAUUAAAUGGAUUUUUCGAACAGGGAGUCGGAAAUGGGGCUUGCUCCGUCCGCUCCAGCAUCGACCCGGUAUUGCAGUACCUCCGGGAACGGUGCAACACUU